UUACCAACACUAAGUGCUUAAUAAACAUGAUUUGAUUUAAAAAAAAUAUUUGGACAGAAUUUAUUCCUCUUGUUAAUCUAUCAUUUCUCUUUCAUACAUUUUAUUCUUUGUUAGCUUUCAGGACCCUGUGAUGGACUGGUGACCUGUCCAGGGUGAACCCCGCCUCUCAUCGGAUGACUGCCGGAGAUGGGCAGCACGAGCCCCCCUCACCACCCUGCAAAAAUCAGCGUGUUCAGAUCAUGGAUGAAAAGCUUUUAAGGCAAAGAAGACACCUAGAAAUGUUUUUCCACCCAGGCAUCUGGUCUCAAUCAUCAUCAGUUCUGAUGAUGCCACAUGCAUAGCGAGUCCACAACAUCCUAAAAUUGUUUCUGUAAAGUGCAGAGGUGCAGUGAAUGGGAAUGUUCUGUCAUUGAUCCUCACUGUUCUUAGGAAGGAGAAAUGUCAUUUUGUCUUGAGUAAUACUGGAAUACUGUGAUAUUGAAUUAAAACAAUACUCUGUC
This is a long non-coding RNA of Poecilia reticulata (guppy), 500 nucleotides long. RefSeq lists it as uncharacterized. The record is from RefSeq and is a predicted model, not a curated record. Lineage: Eukaryota; Metazoa; Chordata; Actinopteri; Cyprinodontiformes; Poeciliidae.